CUGCCUACAAACUAACCAACCGAAGGAUUGGCAGAAUUUUUAUAUUUACAAGGAUUUCAAUUUGUGAAUAUCGUUACGUCAAGUACAAAGUCUGUUAUUAGAAGCCGAGUUUAUUACAUAUUGAAUGAACUAAAGAAAAACGUUUGCACCUGAACAGAACAGAACGUGACAUUUGCAACAUAAUUGCUGCAAAAGAUUGAUGUUCAGUCAUUCAUUCACAAGUGUGCAGGACUAUUAUAGAAAUUUAGCACCUUUAAAAUUAAACUGUUUUCGUACCCCCAACCCCUCGCUGACAAAACGCAAUUAUAUAGUAUGAUAAUUAUGAUGGCGAUUUUCUGUCUUUCAAUAAAAAAAUUAGGAUAUCAGUCAUUAGAAACUGAGGAGAGCGAUCCUUUUGAGCCAUGUGAGUAAUAUUUCGCGUGCAAACGCCUGGGGAGUAGAAGGUGGUCAUCCUUCAUUGAUUGUCCACGAGCACCAAUAUGAGCUAAAAACUACAACGGGGAGAAUUUAUAAAGGUCCAUCUACACGACAUUCACGACACGACUAUUUGUAUACGAUUCUUAUCCUGACGUAUGUACUCGAACUGUAAAUGCGCGUGCAAAGAUGUCACAUUUUAAGAUUUCGCCAUAAACUGAUGAACAAUGUCGUAUAUAGCCUGCGUGUCAGGCUCUAUGCUUGAAAUAGAGCCUGCUACUGAAGUCAAUAAAAAGUGGACAGUGAUUUGGAUGCACAAAAAUAACAACCAAUCAAAAUGGCGAUUGUUAAUUAGAUUAUCAAAGCUAAUUUAAAAUAUGACAAUAACAGCCAAUUUGUCCGCGUAAUUUGCCAUUUCCCAAUCGAGCAGAGGCCUGGGUCUAGUUGCUUGUUUGAAGGGACAAAAAAUAAACAAUGUUGGAAGUUUUCCUAAAUUCCUAAAGUUAUUUGUUCAGCCUGAAACGCCCCAAUUAUAAUAAGGCAUCAUUUAAUAUAUGUUUAGCUCGCUCACUCUAACUUGUUAUCCCUCUCUGGGUACAAGAAUGGUUGUCCCUCCAAACAUCAACUAGACCCAGUCCUCUGCUCGAAUGGGAAAUGGCUAAAUAGGGCCACUUAUACGGGACAAAAUAAGUCGCGACUUACAUAAGACGCGACUUAAUUAAAUAAGACGCGAGUUUUUCGUAUAAAAGGUACAAAAUUCUUAUGUAAGUCGAUCGCGUCUUGGAUAAGACGCGACUUAAAUAAUUAUCUCAUACCUAGCGUAUUAGCGGCUUUCCUAUUGGCUACGAGGAGGUGCGUUCAAUCUCUUAUCCCAUACCUGUGUUAAAAGCGGCUUUCUGAUUGGUUUAGAGCAGGUGAGCUUGUCGUCGAGCUCACCUGCUUUUUGCCGAGCUCACCUGCUUUUCGCCCGAACUCACCCGCUAAACUGCUUACGUUGCAAUAACAAUAACAAAUAUGGCGGACAAGAUUUAGCCGAUAAACCUAAACUUUAAAGAACUUUUUUCGGCGACUAACAUACUGAGACUGAAGAAAAACCAAAGAAAAAAUGCAGUAAAGGUAAUGUAGACGUAGAUAAAGAAGUAUUUUCUUGCCCAGUGAUUUUUUUGGCCGGGAAAAUGUUCACAAAACAUCGACGAGACGACGAAUAUAUCGCGAAGAGCUACAAAUGUGUGUAUGGCUCGGUGUAUGGGAUAAAAACCAAACGUACUUGCAGGUUCGGUGAGUCCGGGAUUGGACGCACCUCGGGUGGCUGGAAGUUUCCCGAACUCACCUCGCUU
RNAcentral lists this long non-coding RNA (1751 nucleotides) under Paramuricea clavata. Lineage: Eukaryota; Metazoa; Cnidaria; Anthozoa; Malacalcyonacea; Plexauridae. The record is from RNAcentral.